Molecule: long non-coding RNA, 239 nt
Organism: Branchiostoma belcheri (Belcher's lancelet)
Lineage: Eukaryota; Metazoa; Chordata; Leptocardii; Amphioxiformes; Branchiostomatidae
Exons: 3
Source: RefSeq, a predicted model, not a curated record
UUCUUCCCCUGGCACCCUAACGACACAGUGUACGACCAUGCACGAUGUGUGGAGAUGACUCCUCCUGGGUAUUGGAUACUCCGUGACUGCAACUCUCCCAAGAAACCAUUUAUCUGUAAACGAGCCAUCAAUCCGUACAUAGACUCUGUGUACAAACUGGUGAAUGAAACCCCUGGUCAGGUCCAGGACCCAGCCCAGCCUGUCUACCCACAUGCCUACAAGGAGGACUUCAAGAGGUU